This 465-nucleotide ribosomal RNA is filed under the name Vreelandella stevensii. RNAcentral describes it as "partial 16S ribosomal RNA". It matches the Rfam family "Bacterial small subunit ribosomal RNA", at positions 338 to 795 of the family's 1533-position model. The record is from RNAcentral. Lineage: Bacteria; Pseudomonadati; Pseudomonadota; Gammaproteobacteria; Oceanospirillales; Halomonadaceae.
CCUACGGGGGGCAGCAGUGGGGAAUAUUGGACAAUGGGGGGAACCCUGAUCCAGCCAUGCCGCGUGUGUGAAGAAGGCCCUCGGGUUGUAAAGCACUUUCAGUGAGGAAGAACGCCUGGUGGUUAAUACCCAUCAGGAAAGACAUCACUCACAGAAGAAGCACCGGCUAACUCCGUGCCAGCAGCCGCGGUAAUACGGAGGGUGCGAGCGUUAAUCGGAAUUACUGGGCGUAAAGCGCGCGUAGGUGGCUUGAUAAGCCGGUUGUGAAAGCCCCGGGCUCAACCUGGGAACGGCAUCCGGAACUGGCAAGCUAGAGUGCAGGAGAGGAAGGUAGAAUUCCCGGUGUAGCGGUGAAAUGCGUAGAGAUCGGGAGGAAUACCAGUGGCGAAGGCGGCCUUCUGGACUGACACUGACACUGAGGUGCGAAAGCGUGGGUAGCAAACAGGAUUAGAUACCCUAGUAGUC